Molecule: ribosomal RNA, 433 nt
Filed under: uncultured bacterium
Lineage: Bacteria
Description: partial 16S ribosomal RNA
Rfam family: Bacterial small subunit ribosomal RNA
Source: RNAcentral
AACGAACGCUGGCGGCAUGCCUAACACAUGCAAGUCGAACGAGACCUUCGGGUCUAGUGGCGCACGGGUGCGUAACGCGUGGGAACCUGCCCUUAGGUUCGGAAUAACUCCCCGAAAGGGGUGCUAAUACCGGAUAAUGUCUUCGGACCAAAGAUUUAUCGCCUUUGGAUGGGCCCGCGUUGGAUUAGCUAGUUGGUGGGGUAAAAGCCUACCAAGGCGACGAUCCAUAGCUGGUCUGAGAGGAUGAUCAGCCACACUGGGACUGAGACACGGCCCAGACUCCUACGGGAAGCAGCAGUGGGGAAUAUUGGGCAAUGGGCGAAAGCCUGAUCCAGCAAUGCCGCGUGAGUGAUGAAGGCCUUAGGGUUGUAAAGCUCUUUUACCCGGGAUGAUAAUGACAGUACCGGGAGAAUAAGCUCCGGCUAACUCCGUG